CAAGGAGUCGAUCUAUCCCAAAAAUUGGAUCUAGAGACCCUUGUAUUCCGAAUUCAUCAUCAACAUUAGCUGCAGGAACCUCCUCUUAUAUGGCGGAUGAGAUCACCCUUAGAAGAUAAGAAAAUGUUUCAUUUGAAAAUAAAUACGAAACUUUAAGGUAAUCUGAUUGAUUUUACUGUUUAUUCGAUUAGUGUACAGCAAAUAGUCUAACUUCGAACACCACCCAUUCCUCCCUUGAAGUAUUAAGGAUUCAAUAAUUGAGAUUCUUGAAAAAGUGUUAAUUUCAAUUUUUUUUUUUUUUUUUUUUUGGGAAAGUUGUUAAAUAUGUGAUCUUUAAUUAAGAAUGUAAUUAGGAAUGAUCAUUACUUAUUAAUAGAAAUCGUGAAUUGAAAUAGUUUGGCUUUUAAUAUGUUCGAAUUGCUAACGAAUUAAGAAAUCUAAAUAAAAAGAAGGUGGAAUCAAUGAAAUCUUGGUUGGUCUUCACUAUGAACUUGAGUAAGUAGUAGAUAUUUUUGUUUUGGGCUUUCAAGAAAUAUUUGCGAUGGAGAACUCCUUCCAUGUUGCUAAGCUAUUUGUUCAAUUGUCUAAGUGAUUAUUUUAAUAUUGAUUCCAAUCGUUUAUUUUCAAAAAGGGGAAUUAAUUGGAUUCAUUUUGCAAGUUUAACAUUUGAACCGCCCAAUAAUUUAUGAAGGAUAAGCAAUUAAAGUCUAUGAAUUGUUGUUACACAUUAUAGCAUCGAAUCGUAGUUGGAUGUUGAAUUGAUCAGAUGAAGGAUUUCUUUCAGGCAGAUUCAUUCAAUGUGUUAAAGAGUUCAUUGAAUUUGCCAUGUCUCAAACAAGAGUUGGAGAUAUGAUCAAACGUCCAUGUUCUAUUUGUAAGAACACAAGGUUUCUAAAAGAAGUUGAUGUGAAAUUUCAUCAUUACAAAAAUGGAUUUACAAGGGACUAUACAGCUUGCAAACACAUAGAGAACCAUUCAAUUUCAAUGGUCUAGAUUUGGCUGAAUCCUCAACAGCACAAGCUGCAAGAAAAGAUAGCCAUGAAACAAUGGUGAUAGACCUCAUGAUGGGAUAGGCUCUGAGAUGCCUUGCCUAGUAGGUAAUGAUUGACCUCCUCGGUCAUCGAAAGGAUCGCGGAGACCCACCACACUCAUUUAGAGGCCUUUACAAGCAUGAUGGCACCUGAAACGUACAAUAACUACAUCAAUCCAAAUGUUUGUGCUCAUGAGGAACAAGUCCCAAAUCAACGUACAAAAAAUUUCUUUGGACUAUUGGAAGAAGCUAACAAACUCAUGUGGCCUAGUUGUAAUAAGUACACAAAACUUUCUAUUGUGGCACGGCUAUUGAAUCUGAAGUUUAAAAUUAAUAUACCUACAGCAUGUUAUGAUCAUAUGUUGUCUAUCAUUAAGGAAAUUAUCUUAGGAGGUGACCGAAUAGCAUGCUGGUGUUAUGAAGAUCCAUGCUUGUGUGAAUAAUUGCAUGUUGUACUACAACGAAACUAAGAGCACGACUUAGUGUCCUACGUAUUUAGUCUACGCUACAAAGAGAAGGUGUCUCAAUUUGGACAUAUGGUACCUCGAUAGGUACUACAAUAUCUACAUCUAACUUUUAGCCUUCAACUUUUGUAUAUGUCAAGACAUACUACAGGCAGGCACAUGUUAUGGCACUCAAAGAAUCAAUUAACUAAUGAUGAAAUACGUGGUAUGGAAAUACUUUGAUAAAACUUUUCCUCAAUUUUCCCUUGAGCCAUGUAGUGUACACAUUAUUUUAUGUAGAAAUGAGUUCAACCCCUUUAGGUUGUCAAAUGUGCAAUAUUCGUAUUGGCUAGUAAUCAUUACUAUGCACAAUCUUCCACCAUGGAUGUGCAUGCAACAAGACAACUUGUUUUUUAGUGUUGUUAUCCCAGGACCAAAGGACCUAGGGAAAAAUCUUGACGUUUAUUUGCAUCCUCUCAUUGACGAACUAAAAAUACUUUGGGAUGAAGGUGUUGAAACAUAUAACAUACAUAUGAAUAAGAAUUUUUCUAUUGAAAGCUGCAUUGACGUAGACUAUUAGUAAUUUCGUUACAACCUAAAGUCUUGUUCAUACUGUAUAGGUCAAACUAAUUUUUUUAGACUUAAAAUUGGAGAAAAAAACAUCUUAUGAAGGUAGAGUUGAGAAGGAUAUGGCAAUAUAGGCUAACCGGUGAAGAGUUGUGAAGUAUAGUGGAGAAUCUCCCACACAUUGCAGGUGGUAGAGAUGAUAAGAGAUAAGAAAUCGAAGGUUUUGGUCAUAGCCAUAAUUGGGUGAAGAGAAGCGUUUUCUUGGAGUUGCCUUAUUGGGAUACAAAUUUUAUAAGGCAAAAUUUAGAUGUGAUGUACAUAGAAAAGAAUGUAUUCGAAAAUAUAUUCAAUUCAAUUAUAGAUAUGAAAUGGAAAACUAAUGAUAACUUCAAGGCUAGAAAGGAUUCGGAGCUUUAUUGCAAUCCUUGGGAGCUUCAUAUAUAUGAAGUUGAAAGUGGAAAAUUAUUCAUGCCAAAGGCCUUCUAUAGUUAAACUCAUGUACAAAAAUGAGAAGUAUGUAGUUAAAUUAGGAAUCUAAGAAUGCGUGACGGUUAUGCAUCAAACAUUUUACGUUGUGUUAAGAGUGAUUGUGAGUUUUAUAGAAUAAAGAGCUAUGAUGGUCAUAUUUUUAUGCAAAGAUUGCUACCAAUAGUACUAAAAAACUUGUUGCCCAAACCAAAUUGGGAAGCUUCAACUGAACUCGGCCAUUUUUUAGGGAUAUAUGCUCCAUUAUUUUGAGGGUGAAAGAUAUGGAGCAGUUGGAACAAAAUAUUUUUUGACAUUAUGCAAGUUUGAAAAGAUAUUUCCAUCAAUAUUUUUUAUUCAAUGGAGCAUGUACCUGUUCAUUCUGCAGAUGAAGCAAAGGUUGAAGGUCCUGUGCAGCAUCGUCGGAUGUAUCCUUUAAGAGAUAGGAUAGGCCUCAAUAUUUAAUUUACCUUCUAAAGCCUAAAAGAUAUUGAUUUCAUGUAUCAUUGAUUCCUACGUUACUUAGAAAAUAUGAUGAAAAAUCAGACUCAUGUUAAGGCAUUUAUUGAGGAGGCAUACUUAGUGGAGAAAACGUCAACUUUUUUCUUUUUGUAUUUUGAUCAAAAUAUUCAAGCAAGAUUGAAUCAUUCAUUGAGGAAUGAUGAUGGAAGUCUUAUUGAUCCCCCAAAGGAGACUAUCAAUUUUUACCCAUUCUGGACUACCCUUUGGCAUUCAAUGUCAUAAUAGCAAAUUAAUGAUGAAUGAGGAAUUCAGAGCAACUUCAAUGUAUGUGCUCUUGAAUUGGAGAAAGUAACCCCUUUUAUGGCGCAAGUUGUUAUAAUUACAUUUCCAAUAUAUAUUGAACUAUAUGCUUAGUCAGCAGCAUUUACAAUUUCUCAUUGCACAUGUAGGGAGUUUGAUAAACAUAUGAGAAUGUUGUUUGCCCAAAUGUCUAAUGCACAAUUUGAUUGUUUGUAGAAAGAAUAAUUUCAUGUUGGUUGAGGGAAUACUUAUGUGAUUUUGUCUCAAUUACUCCCAAAAAGUAUUUUGCUAAUUGAGUCUAAUACAUAUUAUUUCUUCUAUUGAGGUUUUGGAAAAUCAUAAUAAAGUUUAUAGUUGCAUAAAGGCUUUGACUAUAGGCCCCUCUCAUAGAGUGAAUUGGUAUAAUGGAUAUGUUGUCAAUGGUUUUAAGUUUCACACUCUAGAUUAUGGUUUCCACAAAAUUACAAUAAAUAGAAGUAUGUUAGUACUAGGAAGUUAUUAUAAUGAGUAUGAACAUGACUACUAUGGUGUGUUAUCUAAAAUAUUGGGAGUUGGGUCAUCUAGAAGAUAUUGAAAACAAGGUAACCUUAUUCAAGUGUGAUUGGUUUGACAUCAAUGGUGGAUUUAGAAUCAAUCGACGAUUCGGUCUUGUCCAACUUAAUCAUAAGAAGAAAUUACAAACAAUUGUUGUGUUUAUACUUUCUCAACAACCUCAACAAGUAUAUUACACAUGAUUUCCAACAAAGGCUAGAGAUAGAAUUGAUUGGUGGGCAGUUGUGAAAAAAAAAAGCAAGAAAUGUUCCUAGCAUAUUAGGAAUCAUAUCGGAGAAUGAAGAGCAUAAUAUAUGGGUGAAACUUGCAUUUCAAGAUGAUCAACCACCAUUUACCCAGCAAUCUGUUCGAAUAACUUCAAAGUUCAAUUUCCAAAUUUAGUUUGUACUGAUGUUGGGGAUGAAUAUAAGAUGUUCAACAUAGAUCUAACAGGUUUAUUGUAGAAGAAAAUACAGAACCAGAUGAUGUUGACAGUAGUGAUGGCUUAACAACAAGUGCAAAUGAAGGAGAAAAUUGUACUAUUAUUAUUCUAGUCAUUUUUAGUUUAUUUUUCUUCUUAUUGUUCAUAUUUUUCAAGGGCUAAUUUUAGGAAAACAUUUGACCCGUAUAUGGAAAAGGUGUAAGCGUUAUGCCCUAAGUCCAAUCAAUUUUGGAUAUAAAGACUUCUAAUAUACUAUUAUUGAUACAAUUUUAUGGCAAAUCUAUUAUUUUAUCAAUAUUUAGUUAAAUUAAAUAAUAGAGUCUAUAUAUUUAAAUCAUAACAAUUUGUUAAUCACAAAGAGUUGUGAUUGUGAGAUACAAAUUACUUAUGAUCGAAUUUUAAGUCAUCCAUAGUCGUGAGUAAUAAAGAAAUAAGAAUAUUGUUCUUACGGAUAGACCAUCACGUGUGACAUUUCUUACUUGUGAAAUAAGUAGUUGAUCUCACGAGCUAAAAUAUGGUGACACUGAAAUGAAUACGUAGAUGUUUUGUAAUAAAACAAAACAUUGGAGACCCACUACAGAAAUUCAACUUGGAUAACUAUCUAAGUGUCAGUGAUUAAUCUUUAGCGUUUGGUAGUGAAAUUGGUCAUUCAAUUUGAAGUCAUCAUACUACCUUGUAUGAAAACAUUCAUAUUUUGGUAGUGUUGGAAGUUCUCUACCAAGGGCUGCUAGUACAGUAUCGUUCGAUUAUGUCAAGAAUCAUAUGAAGGUUGAAUGAUUGACAAAUGAUUCGUUACUCUUAGAUAGUAAGAGACUAUGAUCUAUAUUUCAUCCAGUGAAGUUGAUAAUGAAAUCCUUGGUCAAGAUAUACUCAUAAGUCUAAAAAGAGUUUUGACUUGCAUUGACUUCAUAGUGGGGUAAAAGAUUUGAUUAAUAAUUGAGAUUGACACAUAUCUAUAUCUCAUAAUUAAUCGGAUCAUGUUGAUGAAAGGAUUAUAGUUUCAUAAUAAAUGAAUAAGUUUGGUUUUGUCAUAUGACGUGAUAUUUUUUAGCACAUAUGUUGUCCUGACAUAUUGUUAGAUGUCAAUUUGAGACGACGAAUGUAAAUUGGUUACGUACAAAAAAGAGAAUUAGAAUAAUGAGACUUACCAAUUAAUUAAUUGACAUGUGUUGGAUAAUUAAUUAAUUGGGUUGUUUGUUAAUAAGCCCGAAAUAAUAAAUUUGAUUAAUUAAUUCAUGGACCAAAAUUAAUUAAUUGAAUUAAUUAAAUAUUUGAUCGGAUUAAGUUAGAAUACUGGCCAAGUCCGCUUGGACUUAUAUUAAUAGGUUGCUAGGUUUGAAAAAUUCAGUAGAGAACAUAAUUAAUCUUGCUAGCGCAAGAAAAGAAAAAAUCCUAGUUCUAUCAAUCUUAUUCUCUAUGUGAAUUUUUAUUUAGAGGCUAGACAAUUAAACAGCUGUGAAUUGCAGAUCGUGAUUGUUAGAGUUCAAGAAAAGUGAAAGAGUUUAUAGAAUUCAGCAUAAGUAUAAUUCUUUAUAUCAAUUUUUCUCUAAGCACAAAGAAGAUCAUUGAAGUAAACGUUUAAGAUCACUUAUAGAAUGUCAAACGAGAGUUUUCACAACCAAUAGAAUAUACUAAACAAUCAAACAAAUAAAAGAGGAUAAAAUCUGCCCAGCCACACCCCGCGGCAAACAAGGAGCAAACAAUUUUUUUUUUAUUUUUUAUUUUUUAUUAUUUUUUAUUUUUUUUGUUAAAUUCCAUUGUUUAGGGCUCUGAAAAAGUUUUUUUGUUUUUAAAUAAUUUUUUUCUUUUUGUAUUUUUUGAGUGAAGAAUGAUAUAAUUGAAUUUAGGGCGUUUAAUUUUCAUCAUUAUUUAGAUAUGAAUGUUCUCGUUUAUUCAUUUGUAAAAGCAACUAACAUUCUAGAAAGUUACUUGGGUAUCCAAUUUUAGUUUAGGGAUAAUCGAUCUUCAACAAAAUGUUCCCUCAAGGCUUGAGGAAUUGGGAAGUAAAUUUCAGCUAACAUUCUCUCGAGGCUUGACGACUUAGGAAUUGGAUUUCAAUGAAAGUUUCCUCAAGGCUUGAUGAAUCAAGAAUUGAACUUUGAACUUUCGAUCAAGGCCUCAAGAAUUGAGAAUUGAAACGUUCCCUUGAGGCUUGAGGUAUUAGGAAUUGAACUUCAACAUACAUUUUCUCGAGGCUUGAGGAAUUCGGAAUUCGACUUCAAUGAAAGUUCCUUCAAGGCUUUAAUAUGUGGAACUCAAUACAUAGGAGGAAAACAUUAAUUAAUUUGAAUUCAAUGAGAAUGCGCAAUAACUAUAACAUGAUUGAGCGGUUGUUGAAGUAUACUUAUACCAAGUUAAAGAUCCACAUGAUGUAAUCAAAUAACAAUUUUUCAAUUUGCAAUUCAGUAUUUUCAACUAAUUUGAAUAGAUUUAAGAUUUAAUAAUCUAUUUUUUUUUUUUUCCAAAAUUCAGUACUUCAUAGAAAUGAAUAGCAAAAUAUCAUCUAUAAGAAUGAUCAAAAUUCAGCAUUUACAAAAUUUAUCCCACUAUCUAAUUCAUCUAAUCCCUCCCAAUAUUUCAACCUUUCCCUAAAAUUCUUCCAAAAUGUUUUCAAUCGUUCAUUCCCUCAUUUUUUUUCCCAUAUACCACAUUCUUCCAUCAUUUAGCUUAUGCAAAGUUUAUAGCAUCCUCGUCACUUUUUUCAACCCUUUGAUCCUUUUCAAAACUCAAACUGAAAUUAACUUCAGCUGAAGAUGACUAAUCGAGUAAGAUGGAAUUUCAUGCCUAGGGUUCCCAUGAGGAGGACAAUAAUUGGACUAAGAAUGAAUCUAAGGAUGCUGAUGGCACUCUUUGUGCAGCCUUAAUUGUAGAAAAAGUAGUCCUAACCACGAUACUAAUGGUUGUGCAGAUGAAUCUAGAAGAACUUCUUUAACCAUGACAGAUAAUAAGCAUUUAUCUGAACUUAUUUUUGGAGAUUUCAUUUUGAAAUGUAAAAUGGUAUCACUGAUUUUAUAUGGACUGAAUAAUUGUAGGAGAUAGAAAAUAUACUAUGGCUUAUUAUGUCCAUUUUCUAGUUGAUGAAAUGGGGUAGUUUUAAACAGGGUAUAUUUUUGGAUGAAUGUUUUUUUAUUUUGUUCCAUGGAUAUUUUCAAUGUCCUUUAUAGAGUACAUUCCCUAUAACAUUGUUUAAUGUAAGGAUGUCAACGAAUCGAGUCGAGUUCGAGCUAAAAUUUUAGACUCGAGCUCAGCUCGGUUAAAAUGGUCGAGCUUUUUUAAGAGCCCGAGCCGAGCCGAGCUUUUGCUCAGCCAAAAAAUUUCGGCUCGGUUUAUGGGCCGAGCCGGGCAAGCUUGUUUUUUUUUUCCUUCCUUAAAACUGCCUUUUUAAAGGCAACAAACUUGGCAUGAUUCUACCUUACGGCCUCUUUUUCUUCUCUCUCUCCUUUUUUUUUUUUUUUUUAAAUAAAAGCUCAUGGGCCGGCUUGGGCUCGGCCUGUGUCCCCAAAAUGGGGCUCGGCCCGAGCCACAAGCCGGGUCGGCUCGGGCUUUUUCCUAGCUGGGCCGCGGGCCGCCCGAGCCUCCGAGCCUUUUUGACAUCUCUAGUUUAAUGUUAUCACAUUAGAAUAUGGUGUUAAUUACACAAGUUUGAAGUUAAGGUAAUCUAAUUAAUAUUGUGUUAUUUAGACUAUACUUCUUGAAGUCCGUUCUCUGCUUUAAUGUGAUUUCAUUUUAUACCAUUUUAAUUCAUUUUUGAAGUCGCAUUCACUGCUUCGAUCUAGUUUAAUGUUGAAUUGGCAAAUAUAUAUUUUCACCUUUUCUGGUUAAGUUCUGUUUUUUAAGUCAUGGUCAUCUUGUACUUUCAUGCUUGUAGAUUCAUUACUCCUUCGAUAUCGUGUACUAUAAGUGCCAAUUUGAAGGCUUACUUGGGCUGACAUUAUCCUAUGUUUAGUUUGGUACCAGUUGACGCAAAAAAGUUCACGUGGGAAAGAUUUUAGGUAAUAUAUAUUUCUUUUAAAUAUACUUAUGUCUUUAUUUUAUUAUGUUGUUUGUUUCAUACUAAUUGUUGGUACCUACAUUAGCAACAAUGCUCAUGACCAAAUACAAAGACAACGAGGGGUAUAAGUCAUAGAAUACCGCCUAACUAAUCGAUUGUGAGAUAUAUAUUUUUUUACUCAAAAGAAGGCUAAGGGAAAUAGCAAGUCUGAAACUAUAAAUAAUUGAAAGGGAUAUAGACCCCCAUGGUUAAGUGUAGAGCACUGGGAUGAGAUAAUUGAGAAACAAUGGAACAAUGAAAGAAGCAAGAAGUCUAAACUUGGCCGUGAUAAUCGACUGACUGUAAAGUCAGUAACCAUCAAUAAGCACGUUGUUUAUUAAAUAACAAUUGCUGCCCAUAAGCAAAGGCUGAUAAUGUUUAACUUGCAUGACUCAAUUGCAUAGACAAUUGACAUGUUACAUAUGAGUAUCUUAUUCUAUAUAUUAUGUUCAUUUUAUACCAGAAUUUCAUUUGUUCAUUCGUUAGAAGAGCUUUCUCUAUGCAUUUUAUAUUAGAUGUGGGAAAAAUCAGCAUGUUCCGUCUUUAUUUUUAGCUUGUUCGGGCUGAAAUCAAUUUGGGAAAAAUCAUCACGUUCUGUCUUUAUUUUUAGCAUGUUCUAUCUAAAAUCAAGUUGGAAAAAACAGCAUGUCUAUCUUUGUACUCUGCAUAUUCAGUCUUUAAUUUUAGAAUAUUCUAUCUGAAAAAUCAAAUGAUCUAUCAAGAGAAUAAUCAGUUGUCUAUGACAUUUAGCAAAGAAAGCUUGUGCAACAGAGAAAUCAUUUUACUGAUAGAUUUUAACUAAUUCUUCUUGUCUGCAUCAGUACUUUCUAUACAAGGAUUAAAUACCAAUUUCUGUUUUACAACAUCAUUGAGAAAUCAUGACUUCAAUACGAACAAUUUAUAUACAGUAUGCAUGAAAUGAUGUUUGAUUUAUUUCUUAUCAAGAAUCUUUUAAACUAAACUUUUCAUUUAUUGCUUGUUUCUGGCACGAGAAAUUAGACAAGCUACUUGCUGCUUCACAGUUGUUCGAACGUGUACACUAUCAAAAGAAGGGAGAAGGAGACUUUGCAGACAACAAAUCAUGGAUUGUAUAAGUGGAAAUAAAUUCUAUUUUGAUUAGACUCUUAACUUUCAUGUUAUUAUCUAGCUAUUCCUAAAUACUAUAUGAU
RNAcentral lists this long non-coding RNA (9439 nucleotides) under Olea europaea subsp. europaea. Lineage: Eukaryota; Viridiplantae; Streptophyta; Magnoliopsida; Lamiales; Oleaceae. The record is from RNAcentral.